Molecule: ribosomal RNA, 301 nt
Filed under: uncultured bacterium
Lineage: Bacteria
Description: partial 16S ribosomal RNA
Rfam family: Bacterial small subunit ribosomal RNA
Source: RNAcentral
CAGUCGCCACGGUAAUACGAAGGGGGCUAGCGUUGCUCGGAAUGACUGGGCGUAAAGGGCGCGUAGGCUGUUUGUACAGUCGGGUGUGAAAUUCCUGGGCUUAACCUGGGGGCUGCACCCGAUACGUGCAGGCUUGAGUGCGGAAGAGGGUCGUGGAAUUCCCAGUGUAGAGGUGAAAUUCGUAGAUAUUGGGAAGAACACCGGUGGCGAAGGCGGCGACCUGGUCCGUGACUGACGCUGAGGCGCGAAAGCGUGGGGAGCAAACAGGAUUAGAUACCCCCGUAGUCCCUGUCUCUUAUAC